RNAcentral lists this ribosomal RNA (781 nucleotides) under uncultured bacterium. RNAcentral's name for it is "bacterial SSU rRNA". It matches the Rfam family "Bacterial small subunit ribosomal RNA", at positions 505 to 1301 of the family's 1533-position model. The record is from RNAcentral.
GUGCCAGCAGGCCGCGGUAAUACGGAGGGUGCAAGCGUUACUCGGAACCACUGGGCGUAAAGAGCGUGUAGGCGGGUAUAUAAGUCAGAAGUGAAAUCCAAUAGCUUAACUAUUGAACUGCUUUUGAAACUGUAUACCUAGAAUGUGGGAGAGGUAGAUGGAAUUUCUGGUGUAGGGGUAAAAUCCGUAGAGAUCAGAAGGAAUACCGAUUGCGAAGGCGAUCUACUGGAACAUUAUUGACGCUGAGACGCGAAAGCGUGGGGAGCAAACAGGAUUAGAUACCCUGGUAGUCCACGCCCUAAACGAUGUACACUAGUUGUUGUGAGGCUCGACCUUGCAGUAAUGCAGUUAACACAUUAAGUGUACCGCCUGGGGAGUACGGUCGCAAGAUUAAAACUCAAAGGAAUAGACGGGGACCCGCACAAGCGGUGGAGCAUGUGGUUUAAUUCGACGAUACACGAAGAACCUUACCUGGACUUGACAUAGUAAGAACUUUCUAGAGAUAGAUUGGUGUCUGCCUGCAGAAACUUAUAUACAGGUGCUGCACGGCUGUCGUCAGCUCGUGUCGUGAGAUGUUGGGUUAAGUCCCGCAACGAGCGCAACCCUCGUCAUUAGUUGCUAACAGUUCGGCUGAGAACUCUAAUGAGACUGCCUACGCAGUAGAGAGUGAGGACGACGUCAGUCAUCAUGGCCCUUACGUCAGGGCUACCACGUGCUACAUGGGUAUACAAGAGCAGCAUACGGUGACGGGAGCAAUCUCAAAAUAUCUCCAGUCGAUUGA